Molecule: ribosomal RNA, 499 nt
Filed under: uncultured bacterium
Lineage: Bacteria
Description: partial 16S ribosomal RNA
Rfam family: Bacterial small subunit ribosomal RNA
Source: RNAcentral
AUUGAACGCUGGCGGAAUGCCUUACACAUGCAAGUCGAACGAUGAACCUUAGCUUGCUAGGGAAUUAGUGGCGAACGGGUGAGUAAUGUAUCGGAACGUAUCCAAUAAUGGGGGAUAACUAGUCGAAAGAUUAGCUAAUACCGCAUACGUCCUACGGGAGAAAGCUAGGGACCUUCGGGCCUGGCGUUAAUGGAGCGGCCGAUAUCUGAUUAGCUAGUUGGUGGGGUAAAGGCUCACCAAGGCGACGAUCAGUAGCUGGUCUGAGAGGACGACCAGCCACACUGGAACUGAGACACGGUCCAGACUCCUACGGGAGGCAGCAGUGGGGAAUUUUGGACAAUGGGCGAAAGCCUGAUCCAGCCAUUCCGCGUGAGUGAAGAAGGCCUUCGGGUUGUAAGGCUCUUUCGCAAGGGAAGAAAACUUAAGCUCUAACAUAGCUUGAGGUUGACGGUACCUUGAUAAGAAGCACCGGCUAACUACGUGCCAGCCGCCGCAGUAA